RNAcentral lists this ribosomal RNA (468 nucleotides) under uncultured bacterium. Its description in RNAcentral is "partial 16S ribosomal RNA". It matches the Rfam family "Bacterial small subunit ribosomal RNA", at positions 28 to 507 of the family's 1533-position model. The record is from RNAcentral.
GACGAACGCUGGCGGCGUGCUUAACACAUGCAAGUCGAACGGAAAGGCCCUGCUUUUGUGGGGUGCUCGAGUGGCGAACGGGUGCGUAACACGUGAGUAACCUGCCCUUGACUUUGGGAUAACUUCAGGAAACUGGGGCUAAUACCGGAUAGGAGCUCCUGCUGCAUGGUGGGGGCUGGAAAGAUUCGGCGGUUGGGGAUGGACUCGCGGCUUAUCAGCUUGUUGGUGGGGUAGUGGCUUACCAAGGCUUUGACGGGUAGCCGGCCUGAGAGGGUGACCGGCCACAUUGGGACUGAGAUACGGCCCAGACUCCUACGGGAGGCAGCAGUGGGGAAUAUUGCACAAUGGGCGGAAGCCUGAUGCAGCAACGCCGCGUGCGGGAUGACGGCCUUCGGGUUGUAAACCGCUUUCGCCUGUGACGAAGCGUGAGUGACGGUAAUGGGUAAAGAAGCACCGGCUAACUACGUG